AUCAUGGUUCCUUUAGGAACCAAAAUUAGUUUGUUUAGACUAAUUU
This is a non-coding RNA of Musa acuminata subsp. malaccensis (wild Malaysian banana), 46 nucleotides long. The record is from Rfam. Lineage: Eukaryota; Viridiplantae; Streptophyta; Magnoliopsida; Zingiberales; Musaceae.